UUAAAUUUCUAAUUUUUCAUCUGGUUCUUUCUCCCUUUAGCUCAAAUGAGAAGAGCCAGUCGUAGCUACAUUUCUCAGACUUCGCUGAUUUCCCUGACACAGCCCAAGAACCACGGAAAACCGGAAAACAAGGAAACUGAGGUUCAAGGUCGCAUACGUAAGCCUGCCCUGGCUGCAUUGUCCAGAAGUACGGUCUUGAGAGUUUUGCACUUUGGAAUUUAGGCUGCAGCAGAGAUGAAGAGGAGAGGCUCAUUCCACAUCGUAUUCUGUCUCCUACUGCCACCUCUGGACCGUGAGCACGUUGA
Molecule: long non-coding RNA, 305 nt
Organism: Hyaena hyaena (striped hyena)
Lineage: Eukaryota; Metazoa; Chordata; Mammalia; Carnivora; Hyaenidae
Exons: 3
Source: RefSeq, a predicted model, not a curated record